This 410-nucleotide ribosomal RNA is filed under the name Bacteroidota bacterium. RNAcentral's name for it is "Bacteroidetes bacterium partial 16S ribosomal RNA". It matches the Rfam family "Bacterial small subunit ribosomal RNA", at positions 355 to 776 of the family's 1533-position model. Lineage: Bacteria; Pseudomonadati; Bacteroidota. RNAcentral also lists the same sequence under 1 other name. The record is from RNAcentral.
UGGGGAAUAUUGCGCAAUGGGGGAAACCCUGACGCAGCGACGCCGCGUGCGGGAUGAAGGCCUUCGGGUUGUAAACCGCUUUUGAUUGGGAGCAAGCUUUCGGGUGAGUGUACCUUUCGAAUAAGCGCCGGCUAACUACGUGCCAGCAGCCGCGGUAAUACGUAGGUCCCGAGCGUUGUCCGGAUUUAUUGGGCGUAAAGCGAGCGCAGGCGGUUAGAAAAGUCUGAAGUGAAAGGCAGUGGCUCAACCAUUGUAGGCUUUGGAAACUGUUUAACUUGAGUGCAGAAGGGGAGAGUGGAAUUCCAUGUGUAGCGGUGAAAUGCGUAGAUAUAUGGAGGAACACCGGUGGCGAAAGCGGCUCUCUGGUCUGUAACUGACGCUGAGGCUCGAAAGCGUGGGGAGCGAACAGG